AUUCCAUGAUGAGGACAUUUCCUCAACAUCUCCUUAUAUGUUUCCCAUGUAUCGUAUAAGGAGUCAGAUUCUAAUUGGCCACAAUAGGAGAUGUCUCUUCUGAGUUU
Molecule: small nucleolar RNA, 107 nt
Organism: Dioscorea cayenensis subsp. rotundata (Guinea yam)
Lineage: Eukaryota; Viridiplantae; Streptophyta; Magnoliopsida; Dioscoreales; Dioscoreaceae
Source: RefSeq, a predicted model, not a curated record